RNAcentral lists this ribosomal RNA (558 nucleotides) under uncultured bacterium. RNAcentral describes it as "bacterial SSU rRNA". It matches the Rfam family "Bacterial small subunit ribosomal RNA", at positions 8 to 610 of the family's 1533-position model. The record is from RNAcentral.
AGAGUUUGAUCCUGGCUCAGAGCGAACGCUGGCGGCAGGCCUAACACAUGCAAGUCGAGCGCGUGUAGCAAUACACGAGCGGCAGACGGGAGAGUAACACGUGGGAACGUACCCUUCGGUUCGGAAUAACCCAGGGAAACUUGGACUAAUACCGGAUACGUCCGAAAGGAGAAAGAUUUAUCGCCGAAGGAUCGGCCCGCGGCUGAUUAGCUAGUUGGUGAGGUAACGGCUCACCAAGGCGACGAUCGGUAGCUGGUCUGAGAGGAUGAUCAGCCUCACUGGGACUGAGACACGGCCCAGACUCCUACGGGAGGCAGCAGUGGGGAAUAUUGGACAAUGGGCGCAAGCCUGAUCCAGCCAUGCCGCGUGGGUGAUGAAGGCCCUAGGGUUGUAAAGCCCUUUCGGCGGGGAAGAUAAUGACGGUACCCGCAGAAGAAGCCCCGGCUAACUUCGUGCCAGCAGCCGCGGUAAUACGAAGGGGGCUAGCGUUGCUCGGAAUCACUGGGCGUAAAGCGCACGUAGGCGGAUCGUUAAGUCGGAGGUGAAAUCCUGGAGCUC